RNAcentral lists this ribosomal RNA (390 nucleotides) under uncultured bacterium. RNAcentral's name for it is "bacterial SSU rRNA". It matches the Rfam family "Bacterial small subunit ribosomal RNA", at positions 388 to 793 of the family's 1533-position model. The record is from RNAcentral.
GCAGCAACGCCGUGUGAGUGAAGAAGGUUUUCGGAUCGUAAAACUCUGUCCUAAGAGAAGAAACAAAUGACGGUACCUUAGGAGGAAGCCCCGGCUAACUACGUGCCAGCAGCCGCGGUAAUACGUAGGGGGCAAGCGUUAUCCGGAAUCACUGGGCGUAAAGGGUGCGUAGGCGGCUUAGCAAGCCAGGGGUGAAAGGCAUUGGCUCAACCAAUGUAAGCCUUUGGAACUGUUAAGCUUGAGUGCAGGAGAGGUAAGUGGAAUUCCUAGUGUAGAGGUGAAAUUCGUAGAUAUUAGGAGGAACACCAGUGGCGAAGGCGACUUACUGGACUGUAACUGACGCUGAUGCACGAAAGCGUGGGUAGCGAACAGGAUUAGAUACCCUUGUAG